CUGGCUCAGGAUGAACGCUGGCGGCGUGCUUAACACAUGCAAGUCGAACGAAGCAGUUAUCACGAUCCCUUCGGGGUGACGAUUACUGACUGAGUGGCGGACGGGUGAGUAACGCGUGGGUAACCUGCCUGUACAGGGGGACAACAGUUGGAAACGACUGCUAAUACCGCAUAAGCGCACAGCUUCGCAUGAAGCAGUGUGAAAAGUAUUUUCGGUACAAGAUGGACCCGCGUCUGAUUAGCUAGUUGGUGAGGUAACGGCCCACCAAGGCGACGAUCAGUAGCCGACCUGAGAGGGUGACCGGCCACAUUGGGACUGAGACACGGCCCAAACUCCUACGGGAGGCAGCAGUGGGGAAUAUUGCACAAUGGGCGAAAGCCUGAUGCAGCCGACGCCGCGUGAGCGAAGAAGUAUUUCGGUAUGUAAAGCUCUAUCAGCAGGGAAGAUAAUGACGGUACCUGACUAAGAAGCACCGGCUAAAUACGUGCCAGCCGCCGC
This 498-nucleotide ribosomal RNA is filed under the name uncultured bacterium. RNAcentral's name for it is "bacterial SSU rRNA". It matches the Rfam family "Bacterial small subunit ribosomal RNA", at positions 19 to 518 of the family's 1533-position model. The record is from RNAcentral.